RNAcentral lists this ribosomal RNA (468 nucleotides) under uncultured bacterium. Its description in RNAcentral is "partial 16S ribosomal RNA". It matches the Rfam family "Bacterial small subunit ribosomal RNA", at positions 28 to 507 of the family's 1533-position model. The record is from RNAcentral.
GACGAACGCUGGCGGCGUGCUUAACACAUGCAAGUCGAACGGAAAGGCCCUGCUUUUGUGGGGUGCUCGAGUGGCGAACGGGUGAGUAACACGUGAGUAACCUGCCCUUGACUUUGGGAUAACUUCAGGAAACUGGGGCUAAUACCGGAUAGGAUCUCCUGCUGCAUGGAGGGGGUUGGAAAGUUUCGGCGGUUGGGGAUGGACUCGCGGCUUAUCAGCUUGUUGGUGGGGUAGUGGCUUACCAAGGCUUUGACGGGUAGCCGGCCUGAGAGGGUGACCGGCCACAUUGGGCCUGAGAUACGGCCCAGACUCCUACGGGAGGCAGCAGUGGCGAAUAUUGCACAGUGGGAGCAAGCCUGAUGCAGAAACGCCGCGUGCGGGAUGACGGCCUUCGGGUUGUAAACCGCUUUCGCCUGUGACGAAGCGUGAGUGACGGUAAUGGGUAAAGAAGCACCGGCUAACUACGUG